Molecule: long non-coding RNA, 1773 nt
Organism: Brachypodium distachyon (stiff brome)
Lineage: Eukaryota; Viridiplantae; Streptophyta; Magnoliopsida; Poales; Poaceae
Exons: 2
Source: RefSeq, a predicted model, not a curated record
CCGCCUUCAUCAGAUCGGGAGGAGCUUGCCCUUCUCUUAAGUCUCUUUAAAUCUUUGCUCUGAAUGUCCAUUACGAUUGGAAAGAUAACUUCUUGGAGGGAUCAGAAAAAUUCUGAUGGAUAAUGUUGAUCUAGAUUCUUGGCUUGAUUGCGUAAUGCUCUUCUAGUGCUUGUGCGUGGGGUUUAUUGAUCUCUUAUUUUAUUUUAACCUCAACUGAUACAUGUGUGUGAUUGGGCUGUUGCACAUGUUUCUUAUGCUUCCUUCGUUCUGUUGCCCCUUUUCCUUUUUCUUUCUCUCUCUCUCUCUCUCUGCUGUGUACUAUGGGGCCAUGUUUCGCACUGUGUAUGCAAGCUUUAUUCUUUGUCUCUGUUUUUCCUUUGUUUCUCCUCCCUUUUAUGUAUAACAGCCCUUUGCCUUUGAUGGUUGCAACGUCAUUUAAGUCUUUUGGCACCGGCGAUCUUGGCUUGUAGAGUUCUUAUACUCUUCACAUUUAUAUCAGAUUGUGCUCAAAGAUUGAUAGUAUCUGCUAUGCUUGACUUUGUUUAUUUGGUGAGAAAUCGAAAAGGCGCCAUGAUGUCUGUGGUCACUAGUUACUCCCUCCGAUCCAUAUUAAUUUUAUUGUCUAAAUAUUACAUGUAUCUAGACAUUUUUUAGGCAUAGAUACUGCAUCCAUAUUUUGGCAAAUUUGAGACAAUUAAUAUGGAUCGGAGGGAGUAGUAUUUUGGAGUUUGGAUGAUGGAAAAUUCCUGAGUUUUCAUGCUCUUUGCUUUUCAGCAGUUUGGAUGCUUCAGGUGAUAUUUUGUGAUAUACCUGUUUUUGGGAAGUUGACAGUGAAGGUGUUUGAAAUUUGAGACAACAAAAUUUGUGAAAUGCAUGUAGAAUCCUAUUGUGUUAUCUAAUACUCCCUCCGUGUACUAAAACCACGACAAGAAUUUAGGGACGGAGGGAGUAUUCAUCAUACCACAAACUUCAAUUUGUCCUAUGGUUAUCAUAGAAGGCUUAAAAGGAAAAAAAGGAAUCCUUUAAGUCUAGUUCAUUUUUCUCAUCAAAUUGGGCCUUGCUUAUAGAAUGAUACCAGUCGAUGUGAAUCGUAAAGAAUAUGGUGGUCUUCUUCUUCCCAAAAAUUACCCUUCCCCUAUGUAUUCUUCCCAGAACUGGAGUACCGGUACAAAAUCACCUCCUCCAGAAUACCCAACAAGUUAUUGUUGAUCUUGCAUCACUGAGGUUGAUGCAGAUGCAACACACACAUCUCUAUGUUGUACACAUGUGUGGCAGAUCUUGGCUGCAUGGUGGUCCACGGAUAACAUGGCGACGUCUUAGAUGCAACACAAAUGGUGCUGAUUGUCGGCUGUGGGAGUCAUAGGUCAUGACCUGGUGCUGGUGGCACUCUAGAGGAGAUGGGUGCUGUAUGACAGCGCGUGGAGCAUUUAAGUGAAUCGCGAAGUGGUAUAGAUCGGAGGCUGCCUAGGAGGCGCUGGAGCACAUGCUUUGUGAUCUCUGUGGCUGCCGCCAGGAUGGUGCGUACGAGGCGAGCUCGGUACCCAUAUUGGGUCAGGAAUAGGUUGGAUAGAGUCUUCGGAGGAAGACUAUGGGUGUAUAUGGUUUUGAGCCAAAGCUACCCAUGUGAAAAUAUUGGCAGCCCGUGAUAAUUUGGUGCUUGUUUGCUUUGUUGCAAAAAAUUUGGUUGUCAAUGAGUAUAUACCCAUCCGUUGCCCGUCAAUUGUUGGCUCAAGAAUUGUUGGCCAUAAAAUUGGUAAGCCAAAUUUUGCUUGA